UACGUAGGGGGCAAGCGUUGUCCGGAUUUAUUGGGCGUAAAGAGCUCGUAGGCGGUUCGGUAAGUCGGGUGUGAAACCUCCAGGCUCAACCUGGAGACGCCACCCGAUACUGCUGUGACUAGAGUCCGGUAGGGGAGCGUGGAAUUCCUGGUGUAGCGGUGAAAUGCGCAGAUAUCAGGAGGAACACCAGCGGCGAAGGCGGCGCUCUGGGCCGGAACUGACGCUGAGGAGCGAAAGCUAGGGGAGCAAACAGG
This 254-nucleotide ribosomal RNA is filed under the name uncultured bacterium. Its description in RNAcentral is "partial 16S ribosomal RNA". It matches the Rfam family "Bacterial small subunit ribosomal RNA", at positions 524 to 776 of the family's 1533-position model. The record is from RNAcentral.